AUGCCGUGUGGUGUCAACAUUUAUUCUCUUCAAUAUUUAUUCACCUCAAAGGGGAGAGCAGAGCGUGCAGCCUCAGUGUAUGGCCUCGGGGUAUGGCCUGGAAAUAAAAGCGAAUCGAUUCAGCUUCCUGGCACAGGCGGCAAGGUCAAUUUAACCCACCUCCCCAAAGAAGUGGGCCAGGAGGAAUGCAUUACUCUCGGAGCAAGCUGGAAAGGGCUCCGCACCACAUGUACUGUGUGCCUGCUCCUGCUCCGUCACAACCACGGUGGUGCCGGAGGAACUGGGAGACGCAGCGAGCGGAGCCUGGCGGGCGCUGGCCUGCAGGAGGAAGUGAACCUGGAGCUGUGCACGGCGGGAGGAUGGAGCCGGCUGGGUGCCCGCCUCCUGACUUGUCCAUCAGCGCUGAGCACCCUUGUGCCUCUCCCUUGCCCACCCAAGGCCUGGGCAUGGAGGAGCCCCCCCCAGGUGUGGAAGGAGCCCAAGAUGCCAGGAGCCCCAGGCGUCCAAGGAAGCAACCAUCCUAGGCUCGAGGCCAGCAGAGGGGCGUCCUUGAGGGUUGUGCCCCUGCCAGUGCCGGUGCAGGGAUGAGGAAUGGAUCAGACACGCACUGGCCCGUGUCGGCGCUGGGAACGGUUUCUGUCCUCAAGUGGAAGUUGUUUCGUGGUUAUCACGGGAAGGAUUGAACGGAAAAGGAAAUCAAAGUUCAUGCUGUGCUUCUGUGUCCUAAUGUUCUCUCUGAGGCCACGGAAAAUCACACCGCCUGCCCGUCACGUGGGGCGGCCACGUGUUGGCAGGAGCGCCUGUCACACAGGCGGCAGAAGCGAUGCUAUCUGUGACAACAAGGACAUGGGGUGACUCAGGGAGAGGCUGAGUUUUAGGGGUACUGCUGCUGCUCACCACGAAACGGCGGCAUGGAGCUCGCAGCCCUGCAAACCACACACACGCGUGGGCUCCUCCGUCAGCACCACGAGUCAAGUCAGCUCUUGGAGUCCAGGGGUCAGUAGGCUGUUAAUGAUGGCCUCGCGAAGCUCAGCUUAUUUUCCAAGACAAAAGCAGUCGAGACGCAGCCCACGAAGAGGACCGCCAGCAGGGCACCCCCCAGCAGUUGCAUGCGAAGCGCCGGUUCAGGAGAGAACACGGUGGGGAGGGUUGUGUGGAUCACCGGGACCAGGUCAGAGGGAGAGUCUACACCGGGGGCUCAGCUGCACCCCCACCCCCGCUGCUGCCACGUCUUCCCGAGGAUGCGGCCGCGCCGUGGGCCCUGGGCUUCUGUAGCUCCUGGGUCCCUGCACCUCCCCUCCGCCGUGUAUUCAUAGACAUUUAGUGACGCGCUGCUUCACGGGUGGUGUGCAGACAGGAUGCUGCCCUGGCCAUGGCUCACCUGGCUGCUGCCGCGGUCUCUGCUCUCCUUGCAGUGUGGACGGGACCUUGGAGGUCUGUGAAGCGCAGCUCCUGGCUGACCUCUGGCUGACUGUGAGCUAGGAAAGGGGUAGAAGGACCUACAGCAUCCAAGAGAGAAGGAGGGCAGGAAAGAGCAGGACGGCGGCCAUGUGGCCGCGUCUCCGUCAGCUGCGUUCACUUUGGUUCCUCGCUGGAGGGCAGGCUUCCCCGCCCCAGUCCCCUCUCGGACCUGGAACGCCAGCCACCAGCCCCGCGAGGUGGCCAGCCCCCACCAUGCCAUGAGAGCCUGCCUGCGACCUCGGGACUUCUUUCUCCAUUCCUGGAUCCAUGUUCACUGCCGAUGAGCAAGGUGACCUCAACACAGCAGCCACCACUUCUCUCUCUGCAGGGUUAUCUUCUGCGGGGCUGGGGUUGCAAAGCCAGCACGCUACAGCAGAGCUGCGGUUGGAGUCCCGGCUGCCCCACUCCCAACCUGGCUCCCGGCUAAUGCCCCUGGGAAAGCAGCAGAAGAUGGCCCCUGCACUCACGUGGGAGGCCUGGAUGGAGUUCCAGGCCCCUGGCUUUGGCCUGGUUCAGACCUCACUGCUGUGGCCAUUUGAGGAGUGAACCAGCUGACGGAAGAGCCCCUCUCUCUCUCUCUGUCUUUUGCGCUCACUCACUCUCUUCUAUUUCUCCCUGUCACCUGCCUUUCCAAUAAAUAAAGGCAUCUUUUUACA
Molecule: long non-coding RNA, 2117 nt
Filed under: Oryctolagus cuniculus (rabbit)
Lineage: Eukaryota; Metazoa; Chordata; Mammalia; Lagomorpha; Leporidae
Description: lncRNA (ENSOCUG00000035071.1)
Source: RNAcentral